Molecule: ribosomal RNA, 345 nt
Filed under: Triticum aestivum (bread wheat)
Lineage: Eukaryota; Viridiplantae; Streptophyta; Magnoliopsida; Poales; Poaceae
Description: partial small subunit ribosomal RNA
Source: RNAcentral
AUGUGCCUCUUGCGAAAAGAAAAAAAAACAUGCAUUUUCCUUUUUCAAGAGGCCUCUCGCAAAAGCAAAUCUGUGCCUCUCAAGGUAGAAAAAGAAAAACACAUUUUCCUUCUUUUUUCGAGAGGCACAGCUGCCUCUCGCCGAAGCAAAUCGAUGCCUCUACGGAAAGUAAAUAUGCGCCUCUCACAAAUUUCUUUUGCAUUUUUUCUUGUUCAAAACCUAAAGAAAACCAGAGAAAUCCAAAAAGCCGAAAAAAUCGAAACAAAAAGUCGUCUAAAAGCCGAAAAUGACUCUUGCAGGGCUCUCCAAGGAUUACUCCUUAAUUCGGUCGCAGCUGUGGUCUAG